UUCACAAUGUGUGUUUUUACUAGGUUGUGGAACAAUAUUAGUGGUUUCAUUAAGCACCUAUUCAUUAUCAUCCAUAUUUACACCUUCAAAUUUGGUUUCUUGUGAGUUUACACCAUCAGAUUCGGUCUCUUAGGAAUUUACACCAUCAUCGCCAUUGCACCUUCAGUUCCGUCGCCGCCGCCCUACCCUGCCGCCCACGCCACCGGAGUACACCUUCAGUCCCGUCGCCACCGCCCACGCCACCGGAGUACGUUUCAGGUUGGCACUGUUUUGAACACCAAGGAUGCUGCUGAAAAUGCCAAAAAUGUUGGAGCAAAGUUCAUCAUGAGUCCUGUAAUAGUUGUUAUUAUUCAUUUUAUGAUCUCUUUUAAAGGUCACUUUUUAUUAAGUUUAGUUUAACAAUAUAAAUCGAAACACAAAUGCGAAUGUAAACAUAGAUGGUGUGCAUUGUGACCAA
Molecule: long non-coding RNA, 457 nt
Organism: Helianthus annuus (common sunflower)
Lineage: Eukaryota; Viridiplantae; Streptophyta; Magnoliopsida; Asterales; Asteraceae
Exons: 2
Source: RefSeq, a predicted model, not a curated record